AGACGAUAAAGGCAAACCUCGCGCAAGCGGGGGACGUCCGCCACAAAGCGUGGCGGACCCGCCAAGAAGUGUGGCGGGCAAAGCUACGGGUCCUUCAAGUGGGGACAGCCGGGCUGCCGAA
This 121-nucleotide non-coding RNA is filed under the name Candidatus Omnitrophota bacterium. RNAcentral's name for it is "Omnitrophica WOR c-di-GMP sequence". It matches the Rfam family "c-di-GMP-I riboswitch aptamer". Rfam says of the family: GEMM was predicted in a large-scale screen for bacterial structured RNA regulatory elements. Genes associated with GEMM are involved in a diverse array of functions, including chemotaxis regulation, signal transduction, secretion and chitin. Lineage: Bacteria; Pseudomonadati; Candidatus Omnitrophota. The record is from RNAcentral.